CAGGUGGUCAGGUAGAGAAUACUCAGGCGCUUGAGAGAACUCGGGUGAAGGAACUAGGCAAAAUGGUGCCGUAACUUCGGGAGAAGGCACGCUGGCGCUAGGUGAAGUGGUUUACCCAUGGAGCUGAAGCCAGUCGCAGAUACCAGCUGGCUGCAACUGUUUAUUAAAAACACAGCACUGUGCAAACACGAAAGUGGACGUAUACGGUGUGACGCCUGCCCGGUGCUGGAAGGUUAAUUGAUGGGGUUAUCCGUAAGGAGAAGCUCUUGAUCGAAGCCCCAGUAAACGGCGGCCGUAACUAUAACGGUCCUAAGGUAGCGAAAUUCCUUGUCGGGUAAGUUCCGACCUGCACGAAUGGCGUAAUGAUGGCCAGGCUGUCUCCACCCGAGACUCAGUGAAAUUGAACUCGCUGUGAAGAUGCAGUGUACCCGCGGCAAGACGGAAAGACCCCGUGAACCUUUACUAUAGCUUGACACUGAACAUUGAGCCUUGAUGUGUAGGAUAGGUGGGAGGCUUUGAAGUGUGGACGCCAGUCUGCAUGGAGCCAACCUUGAAAUACCACCCUUUAAUGUUUGAUGUUCUAACGUUGCCCCGUUAUCCGGGGUGCGGACAGUGUCUGGUGGGUAGUUUGACUGGGGCGGUCUCCUCCCAAAGAGUAACGGAGGAGCACGAAGGUUGGCUAAGCAUGGUCGGACAUCAUGCGGUUAGUGCAAAGGCAUAAGCCAGCUUGACUGCGAGAGUGACGGCUCGAGCAGGUACGAAAGUAGGUCUUAGUGAUCCGGUGGUUCUGAAUGGAAGGGCCAUCGCUCAACGGAUAAAAGGUACUCCGGGGAUAACAGGCUGAUACCGCCCAAGAGUUCAUAUCGACGGCGGUGUUUGGCACCUCGAUGUCGGCUCAUCACAUCCUGGGGCUGAAGUAGGUCCCAAGGGUACGGCUGUUCGCCGUUUAAAGUGGUACGCGAGCUGGGUUUAGAACGUCGUGAGACAGUUCGGUCCCUAUCUGCCGUGGGCGUUGGAAGAUUGAAAGGGGCUGCUCCUAGUACGAGAGGACCGGAGUGGACGCACCACUGGUGUUCGGGUUGUCAUGCCAAUGGCAUUGCCCGGUAGCUAAGUGCGGAAGAGAUAACCGCUGAAAGCAUCUAAGCGGGAAACUUGCCUUGA
RNAcentral lists this ribosomal RNA (1161 nucleotides) under Providencia rettgeri. RNAcentral describes it as "partial 23S ribosomal RNA". It matches the Rfam family "Bacterial large subunit ribosomal RNA", at positions 1660 to 2802 of the family's 2925-position model. Lineage: Bacteria; Pseudomonadati; Pseudomonadota; Gammaproteobacteria; Enterobacterales; Morganellaceae. The record is from RNAcentral.